This 72-nucleotide transfer RNA is filed under the name Heterocephalus glaber (naked mole-rat). It matches the Rfam family "tRNA". From Rfam's summary of the family: Transfer RNA (tRNA) molecules are approximately 80 nucleotides in length. Their secondary structure includes four short double-helical elements and three loops (D, anti-codon, and T loops). The record is from Rfam by way of RNAcentral. Lineage: Eukaryota; Metazoa; Chordata; Mammalia; Rodentia; Bathyergidae.
GGGGAUGUAGCUUAGUGGCAGAGCAUUUGCCUCGAACGUGCAAGACCCUAGGUUCAAUCCCCAGCACCGCCA